GAUGAAGAACGCAGCGAAAUGCGAUAAGUAAUGUGAAUUGCAGAAUUCAGUGAACCAUCGAAUCUUUGAACGCACAUUGCGCCCCCUGGUAUUCCGGGGGGCAUGCCUGUCCGAGCGUCAUUGCUGCCCUCAAGCACGGCUUGUGUGUUGGGCCCCGUCCUCCGAUCCCGGGGGACGGGCCCGAAAGGCAGCGGCGGCACCGCGUCCGGUCCUCGAGCGUAUGGGGCUUUGUCACCCGCUCUGUAGGCCCGGCCGGCGCUUGCCGAUCAACCCAAAUUUUUAUCCAGGUUGACCUCGGAUCAGGUAGGGAUACCCGCUGAACUUAAGCAUAUCAAUAAGCGGAGGA
This 346-nucleotide unclassified non-coding RNA is filed under the name soil metagenome. Its description in RNAcentral is "partial contains 5.8S ribosomal RNA, internal transcribed spacer 2, and large subunit ribosomal RNA". The stretch from base 1 to 120 matches the Rfam family "5.8S ribosomal RNA", at positions 35 to 154 of the family's 154-position model. The record is from RNAcentral.